Molecule: long non-coding RNA, 2665 nt
Organism: Ficedula albicollis (Collared flycatcher)
Lineage: Eukaryota; Metazoa; Chordata; Aves; Passeriformes; Muscicapidae
Source: Ensembl
AUGGAGGCAUUACAAGAUCUUGUCCCAGUGAAUUCAGUUACAAAAUUCUCAUUACUUCAAGGGACCAAGAUGUCAUACAUUGCACUUGAGCAGUUAAGAUUUGAUAGUGAUUGGAGUGAUGAAUGCAACAAGAGGAGGAGGGCUUGUAGUAUGAGAUUUUUCAGAAAAUGGAGAAAUGUGUUGAAAGCUGUGGAGUUUCCAUUGGACAGCAGAAGCAUUGAGGGCUCAGAACAGCCACAGGUAAGAAAAACAGCUUCUGUUCUGCACAUAUUUGUAUCUUGUUUAAGUAAUGCUUGUGUCCUGUCUCCAUAAUGUUUAUACUAGAAACGUAAAGUCCUGUCAGGCUUCAUUUCAAAUAAAAGAGCUUCAAAUCCUAUCCCUCAGAUCAGUCAAUUUUCAUCAGCUAAGGUAAAAUCACCCCCAGGUACCUUCCAUGUGAAAUUAACUGGAUAUGCUCUGAUUGCAGACCAUGCAGUGCAUGCCACAGUAUUGCUGGAAUUUAUACAAAUUGCUGUUAUUAAUGCCAUGCCUGCUGUUACAGUAGAAGAAACAAGGUAAAUAGCUAUAGUUCUAAUAAUUUUCUCUUGGGAAUUGAAGAAAAACAUUUAGAUUUAGACACCUCUGCUUUAUUUUUGUGUCAUAAAACAGAAAUAAUGCCAAUUCUGGAGAAACUUUCUCCAUUUGUCAUAGAGGCAGCUGGUUUCCUUCAUUCUACUGAUUCUCAACUCAAUGAGAAUGAGUUAUUCUCAUUCUACUGAGAAUAACUAAAAAGUUGUCCUUAUGGCUAAAUGUUAUUCCAUUAUAUAAAUCCUGGAUGUUAUUCCAAUGCACAAAAUCUGAAAGAAGAAAAGGUAAAACCAGUGUAUUAGGUUGGUUGCUGAGAGAAAAAUCGUGACAUGAAAUAUUUCAUCUUGAGAUGAAAUAUUGAUUAAAUCUGGCAACAAAACGUGGUGGGAACUGGAAUGGGUGCUAAGAAUGUUUAACAAAGAUGGAACAAUACCAACACCAUAGGUGGUCCCUGUAUAACAGACUUAGGGCAAUAGCCACAAUUAUUUUGUAUUUUCUAGAGAUUAAUUUGGCUUUGAAAAAUGCAAGUUCAUAAACACACAUACCUAUGCAUCAUUUUGCAGGGCACAUUUGCAAUUUGUCUUCGAAAACAAGAAGAAAAGCAUUCCAGUUAUGACAGUUUCUAUUUUUAAAAUGGCUUAUGGAAAAACAAAAAAAUGAAUCAAACAAAGUGCUACAAAAAUCUGCAGCAGGAGAGAUGAUAACAAUAGGAUGGGCCACUCAGCCCUGGAUAGUCAGAAGCAUUACUCUGAUGUCUAAUGUACUCAGCUCUUUCCAUGGCUUUCUCCUUCCUCCCACAAUUACCACAGGCCUGUUUGGUUAGGAAUUUCAGCCAGUCUGACCAUAUGACACUUAUUUUUUCCUGUGAAGAGCCUCACCAAAAGGGAGUUUUCAAGGUUUUUUAGGUUUGGUUUUUUUUUAAUAUAUUUUGAUAUUUUAUUUUUUUUAAAGGCCAAUUCUGACUCCCAAGAGAUAUUCCUUCCAGUCAAGGAAAGAUAAUGGAAAAGCUACUAAAGCUCUUAGUUCCUAUAGUUACAGUCUUUACCAUACAUGAACUGCAAGGUUUUGGGACACUGAUAAUUAAAAAGAGUAUAAACAGGUUUUCAAAGUGUGUUCACCCAUAUUCAGUGAGGUGAUUUUGGCACAGGUGGAUCUGUCCUUAUCCCUGCUUUUUGUGCGUGAUCCCAUCUGCUUCCUCAGGCCAGAACUGCAAUUGCGUGUCCAUGGGAUAAUGCAAAUCAGGGAACUAAUCUGGGGCUGGGAAAAAAGGAUGCUGAGUCCAUAGUCUGGUUCAUUGUGUAGCCACAUAAGGCUCCAUGCUGGGAUGAAGGGAGGACAAGGAUUAAACCAGGGACCACCCAUUCCAGCGACAUUGGUUCAAACAGAUCAAGAAAGCUUAGCCAGAUGGCCUGAUCCAAAUCCUGCCAAAGCCACUGUGAGCCUCCACAUUAUCUCCUCUUGGAAGGAUUUCAGAGAUGGCUGAGCAGAGAGAGACUGACUCAUAAAAGCACUGUGGACAACCUGGCCAAAACAUCUGGGAAUCACCCACUGCAACUUUGCAAAGGUUCCUCACAGCACUGAGCUGUAGGGAGUCAAUCCUGUUUAAUAAGAUCCUGUGUAGAAACCAAGAAUUUGGCUCUCAGGAAGGUGAAUACACCAUACUUUUUGCUGACAGUGCAAAAAAAUCCUUCUGUAAGAAUUGUCAUGCCAGACUGAGGAAAACUAAAGGUGCAAUUCCAGGAACAUUUCUUCAAAAGCAGUCUUGGCAAUGGCUUGUGUGGAAACACUGAGCUGGACAGAGGAACUGCCAAGCCAGUAGAAGAGAAGUGUUUUUUCCCUUCCAGAUUUUUUUCCCAGCAGGAUGCCUUUUAAAGUUCAAUGCACCUCGAAGAGAAGAAUGGAAUGGAAUGGAAUGGAAUGGAAUGGAAUGGAAUGGAAUGGAAUGGAAUGGAAUGGAAUGGAAUGGAAUGGAAUGGAAUGGAAUGGAAUGGAAUGGAAUGGAAUGGAAUGGAAUGGAAUGGAAUGGAAUGGAAUGGAAUGGAAUGGAAUGGAAUGGAAUGGAAUGGAAUGGAAUGGAAUGGAAUGGAAUGGAAUGGAA